UACGAAGGGGGCGAGCGUUGUUCGGAUUUACUGGGCGUAAAGGGUGUGUAGGCGGCAUAAUAAGUCGAUUGUUUAAUUUUGCAGCUUAACUGCAAGCAUGCGGUCGAUACUAUUGUGCUGGAGUUUGGAAGAGAGAAGUGGAAUUCUCGGAGUAGCGGUUAAAUGCGUAGAUCUCGAGAGGAACACCGGUGGCGAAGGCGGCUUCUUGGUCCAAUACUGACGCUGAGACACGAAAGCGUGGGGAGCAAACAGG
Molecule: ribosomal RNA, 253 nt
Filed under: uncultured bacterium
Lineage: Bacteria
Description: partial 16S ribosomal RNA
Rfam family: Bacterial small subunit ribosomal RNA
Source: RNAcentral